RNAcentral lists this ribosomal RNA (253 nucleotides) under uncultured bacterium. RNAcentral's name for it is "partial 16S ribosomal RNA". It matches the Rfam family "Bacterial small subunit ribosomal RNA", at positions 524 to 776 of the family's 1533-position model. The record is from RNAcentral.
UACGGAGGGGGCUAGCGUUGUUCGGAAUUACUGGGCGUAAAGCGCACGUAGGCGGCUUUGCAAGUUAGAGGUGAAAGCCCGGGGCUCAACUCCGGAAUUGCCUUUAAAACUGCAUCGCUAGAAUUGUGGAGAGGUAAGUGGAAUUCCGAGUGUAGAGGUGAAAUUCGUAGAUAUUCGGAAGAACACCAGUGGCGAAGGCGACUUACUGGACAGAUAUUGACGCUGAGGUGCGAAAGCGUGGGGAGCAAACAGG